UACGUAGGGAGCAAGCGUUGUCCGGAUUCACUGGGUGUAAAGGGUGCGCAGGCGGUUUGGCAAGUCAGAGGUGAAAUCUCACAGCUUAACUGUGAAACUGCCUUUGAUACUUCCAAUCUUGAGUUAAAGAGAGGUUGAUGGAAUUUCAGGUGUAGCGGUGAAAUGCGUAGAUAUCGAGAGGAACACCUGCGGCGAAGGCGGGUAGCUGGGCCGACACUGACGCUGAGGCGCGAAAGCCAGGGGAGCGAACGGG
Molecule: ribosomal RNA, 253 nt
Filed under: uncultured bacterium
Lineage: Bacteria
Description: partial 16S ribosomal RNA
Rfam family: Bacterial small subunit ribosomal RNA
Source: RNAcentral